AGCACAGGUCACAGAUGGAUACCAGUGUAUGAUCAAGGUCACUGAGCAUGAAGCCUUCUCUCCUGGCGUGCACAGGUUUGGCUGGGAGCCACUUACCGUUUCAUAGAACUGUACUUGCUGCUCCAGGUAGAGGCGGAUGACGCUGUUGUAAUCGUAGAUCCGGUUACUGUGGAAGUGAUUCAUCUCAGCUACAACAAAAUUAUCCCAGGGAUUAGUUCCCAGCAAGAUUUCGAUUGACAACAUGCGAUCUCUCUGCUUGGUAUUUAAGAAGACAAGCUAAGCACUGGCUGAAGACACGACAAUGCUGACAUUCUACAGACUUGGUACUGAAGAGGAAAGCACUGCGACACUAAGGACAGAGGGAACAUCAGCUCCUGAGCCAACUCCAUUCAAGUCUCUCGGGAGCAAAGGCUGCCACUCUUAAUGCAAUAGCACUAGAACCUGCAGUUUUAUGCACCAGGAGAAGAGAAACAGACUGUCCUCCGUGUAAGUCUAUACUGCUGGUGUUUCAGGAGUACAGAGGAGACCAGGCAUGGUGGUCAGAAAGCCACAUGCAUGUAGCAGGUACACAGUGCCCGGAGCGUGUCCUUUCUCUCCUGCUAGGAAACAAUUCCAUGGGUUGCUGCUUGAGUGUACACACUGGUUUUAUUCUACUUUUGUAGGAGGCGCGAAUGAGUUUCAAGUCCUUCUCAGAUGGAAGUAGCUGUAAAUGCUGCCAAGGAAUCUCAUUCCAGCACCACUCCACUGCUUGUUAUUUGUGGAAAUAACAUACCAUGUAGCAGGGAAUCUUUGAGUGAUCAUUCUUGUCCAGGAAAACCUCGACCUCUACUGGUAAACUAGGCUCUGCGCCUAACACUCCACUCUGCUGCUGUAUAAAUUCUGACCAGGACGACCCUCCUGGGUGAAUACCCGCUACAGUACUAAGUUAGCGGAACUACACAAAGGCUGUUUAUGUGUGUUGCUCUUGCAGACUCUUCCUGCAGCAGCACUAAGAUCACAGAACAGCCCUUUGCAGAAAUUUUCCUAAUCAAUCCAAGGACCCUCAGGACACUAAGAGCACCACAGAGACUCUAGGAGGAACUAGUAACAGGGUUAAAACAUGAAGAUGUACCAAACCACCUUUUCAAUUUAGUUUUAAAACUUUAUGGUGGGAGUUAUAGCUUGCUACUACUUCUCCUUCUUUUUGAGAUGGGGGCACCUCAUUUUGUAGUCCUGUCUGGCAUGGAACUUACUUUGUAGACGAGGCUGGCCUUGAACUCAUGUAGACCUGCCUGCCUCUGCCUCCUGGCUGGAUUGCAGGCUUGUGGCACCACAUCCAGGUAGUUUCUUUUUAAACAAUGUGUCAGUGCUGCACGCCUGGCAGCUCCUCCUAACACUGGCCCUUACCUUGUGAGCGCCGAUGAUGUCUGGGAAGCAUCCAAGAAAGCCUUUGUACUCGUGGUUGCACUCCAUCAGGAAGUGCAGGUCCUUCUUUGGCUGUAACAAGACACAGGCUGCCUGUUACUGGUGGAGGAAUUUUAAAAAUCAAGGAGAAGAAACUGAGGAGCAUACUCUUGUCCCAAAACUAAAAGAAGCGCCAAACUCCAUCCUACUUUUUCCUGUCUUUUUGUCGUUUCUACCCUAAUCCCUGGCUUCUCUAUGGCUAGCUCUGGUCAGCUAGUCUUUGACUCUGCCCCAAUUCAAGGUUAACUUAUUAACAGUCUUGGAGGGUCACAGUGUGACCGAAUGUCCUGCAACAGUCUGAUAACUGAUAACUGAUGUGGGAGGGCCCAGCCCGGCAGCCCCAUCCCUCGGCAGGUGGUCCUUGCUGUGUAAGACAGUGCGAGCCACAGAGUGAGCCAGCGAGGAGCCUCCACGGUUCACGCUUAGGUUUCUGUCCUCACUGACUGUGACAUGGAAGUAUGAGCCAAAUAAAUCCUCCCCUUCCCAAGUUCCUGUUGGUCAGAAAUUUUUUUUUCUUUUUUACGUACACAGUAUUCUGCCUGCACACCAGAAGAGGGCACCAGAUCUCAUGACAGAUGGCUGUGAGCCACCAUGUUGUUGCUGGGAAUUGAACUCAGGACCUUUGGGAGAGCAGCCAGUGCUCUUAACCGCUGAGUCAUCUCUCCAGCGCCCCCCAAAAUGUCUCAUAACAGCAACAGAAUGCCAACUAGAACACUCAGUGUUAAGCAUUUAGAAUUAGUAUUCCUAACUAAAAACAAUCCUGGGGGGGGGGUCCCACAAGUAUUGAAGAACAAUCUAGGCCAUUUAACACAGACCCAAACUUCAUUUAGAUUUUUUUUUCUGUUGUCUUUUUGAGAAAGGAUCUUACUCUGUAACUAAGAUCAGCUCAGAACUCACUAUACAGCCCAGGCUAGAUCUGAACUCAAGACUAUCCCAUACCCCAGCCUCCCAAGCUCUGGGAUUACCGGUAUGAGCUACCACACCUGGCUUCACUGGAAAACACAUCAUCACUAAAUGAAAUUAACGGGAAGCCACAGAAGCAGAGAAGAGGUGUCUAGCUGGGUUUACAUAACGGACGUGGGUUGGGAAGUGUGGUUAUGGAAUACCUGCUCUGCCACGAGGCUGGCGAUCUCCUCGUAUGUCUUCCCAGCUUCUGUUAUUGCAUCGUUCAGAUCUGUUUCCCCUGAAAUGAAUUGCAUGACAUCUUGUAAGCAACUAAUAUUACAAAUAUUUUCUUUAUA
Mesocricetus auratus (golden hamster) is the source of this 2684-nucleotide long non-coding RNA. RefSeq lists it as uncharacterized. The record is from RefSeq and is a predicted model, not a curated record. Lineage: Eukaryota; Metazoa; Chordata; Mammalia; Rodentia; Cricetidae. The transcript has 2 exons.